Molecule: ribosomal RNA, 477 nt
Filed under: uncultured anaerobic ammonium-oxidizing bacterium
Lineage: Bacteria
Description: bacterial SSU rRNA
Rfam family: Bacterial small subunit ribosomal RNA
Source: RNAcentral
UUCGCAAUGCCCGAAAGGGUGACGAAGCGACGCCGCGUGCGGGAAGAAGGCCUUCGGGUUGUAAACCGCUGUCGGGAGUUAAGAAAUGCAAGGAUGUUAAUAGCAUCUUUGUUUGACUAAGGCUCCGGAGGAAGCCACGGCUAACUCUGUGCCAGCAGCCGCGGUAAUACAGAGGCGGCAAGCGUUGUUCGGAAUUAUUGGGCGUAAAGAGCACGUAGGCGGCUGUGUAAGUCGGUUGUGAAAGCCUCCUGCUUAACGGGAGAAGUGCAGUUGAAACUACGGGGCUAGAGUGCGGAAGGGGAGAGUGGAACUUCUGGUGGAGCGGUGAAAUGCGUAGAUAUCAGAAGGAACACCGGCGGCGAAAGCGGCUCUCUGGUCCGUAACUGACGCUGAGGUGCGAAAGCCAGGGGAGCAAACGGGAUUAGAUACCCCGGUAGUCCUAGCCGUAAACGAUGGGCACUAAGUAGAGGGGUUUUA